GAACUGCGAAUGGCUCAUUAAAUCAGUUAUCGUUUAUUUGAUAGUACCUUACUACUUGGAUAACCGUGGUAAUUCUAGAGCUAAUACAUGCUAAAAACCCCAACUUCGGAAGGGGUGUAUUUAUUAGAUAAAAAACCAAUGCCCUUCGGGGCUCCUUGGUGAUUCAUGAUAACUUAACGGAUCGCAUGGCCUUGCGCCGGCGACGGUUCAUUCAAAUUUCUGCCCUAUCAACUUUCGAUUGUAGGGUAUUGGCCUACAAUGGUUUCAACGGGUAACGGGGAGUUAGGGCUCGACUCCGGAGAGGGAGCCUGAGAAACGGCUACCACAUCCAAGGAAGGCAGCAGGCGCGCAAAUUACCCAAUCCCGACACGGGGAGGUAGUGACAAUAAAUACUGAUACAGGGCUCUUUUGGGUCUUGUAAUUGGAAUGAGUACAAUUUAAAUACCUUAACGAGGAACAAUUGGAGGGCAAGUCUGGUGCCAGCAGCCGCGGUAAUUCCAGCUCCAAUAGCGUAUAUUAAAGUUGUUGCAGUUAAAAAGCUCGUAGUUGAACCUUGGGCCUGGCUGGCCGGUCCGCCUCACCGCGUGCACUGGUCCGGCCGGGCCUUUCCUUCUGGAGAGCCGCAUGCCCUUCACUGGGUGGUGUCGGGGAACCAGGACUUUUACUUUGAAAAAAUUAGAGUGUUCAAAGCAGGCCUUUGCUCGAAUACGUUAGCAUGGAAUAAUAGAAUAGGACGUGCGGUCCUAUUUUGUUGGUUUCUAGGACCGCCGUAAUGAUUAAUAGGGAUAGUCGGGGGCAUCAGUAUUCAAUUGUCAGAGGUGAAAUUCUUGGAUUUAUUGAAGACUAACUACUGCGAAAGCAUUUGCCAAGGAAGUUUCCUUAAUCCGGGAACGAAAGUUAGGGGAUCGAAGACGAUCAGAUACCGUCGUAGUCUUAACCGUAAACUAUGCCGACUAGGGAUCGGGCGAUGUUAUUAUUUUGACUCGCUCGGCACCUUACGAGAAAUCAAAGUUUUGGGUCG
Molecule: ribosomal RNA, 1021 nt
Filed under: Hysterium angustatum
Lineage: Eukaryota; Fungi; Ascomycota; Dothideomycetes; Hysteriales; Hysteriaceae
Description: SSU rRNA
Rfam family: Eukaryotic small subunit ribosomal RNA
Source: RNAcentral